RNAcentral lists this ribosomal RNA (1660 nucleotides) under Salmonella enterica. RNAcentral describes it as "partial 23S ribosomal RNA". It matches the Rfam family "Bacterial large subunit ribosomal RNA", at positions 1292 to 2925 of the family's 2925-position model. RNAcentral also lists the same sequence under 1 other name. The record is from RNAcentral. Lineage: Bacteria; Pseudomonadati; Pseudomonadota; Gammaproteobacteria; Enterobacterales; Enterobacteriaceae.
GAAUGCUGACAUAAGUAACGAUAAAGCGGGUGAAAAGCCCGCUCGCCGGAAGACCAAGGGUUCCUGUCCAACGUUAAUCGGGGCAGGGUGAGUCGACCCCUAAGGCGAGGCCGAAAGGCGUAGUCGAUGGGAAACGGGUUAAUAUUCCCGUACUUGGUGUUACUGCGAAGGGGGGACGGAGAAGGCUAUGUUGGCCGGGCGACGGUUGUCCCGGUUUAAGCGUGUAGGUGUGUGUUCCAGGUAAAUCCGGUUCACUUUAACACUGAGGCGUGACGACGAGGCACUACGGUGCUGAAGCAACAAAUGCCCUGCUUCCAGGAAAAGCCUCUAAGCAUCAGGUAACAUCAAAUCGUACCCCAAACCGACACAGGUGGUCAGGUAGAGAAUACCAAGGCGCUUGAGAGAACUCGGGUGAAGGAACUAGGCAAAAUGGUGCCGUAACUUCGGGAGAAGGCACGCUGACACGUAGGUGAAGUGAUUUACUCAUGGAGCUGAAGUCAGUCGAAGAUACCAGCUGGCUGCAACUGUUUAUUAAAAACACAGCACUGUGCAAACACGAAAGUGGACGUAUACGGUGUGACGCCUGCCCGGUGCCGGAAGGUUAAUUGAUGGGGUCAGCGCAAGCGAAGCUCCUGAUCGAAGCCCCGGUAAACGGCGGCCGUAACUAUAACGGUCCUAAGGUAGCGAAAUUCCUUGUCGGGUAAGUUCCGACCUGCACGAAUGGCGUAAUGAUGGCCAGGCUGUCUCCACCCGAGACUCAGUGAAAUUGAACUCGCUGUGAAGAUGCAGUGUACCCGCGGCAAGACGGAAAGACCCCGUGAACCUUUACUAUAGCUUGACACUGAACAUUGAGCCUUGAUGUGUAGGAUAGGUGGGAGGCUUUGAAGUGUGGACGCCAGUCUGCAUGGAGCCGACCUUGAAAUACCACCCUUUAAUGUUUGAUGUUCUAACGUGGACCCGUGAUCCGGGUUGCGGACAGUGUCUGGUGGGUAGUUUGACUGGGGCGGUCUCCUCCUAAAGAGUAACGGAGGAGCACGAAGGUUGGCUAAUCCUGGUCGGACAUCAGGAGGUUAGUGCAAUGGCAUAAGCCAGCUUGACUGCGAGCGUGACGGCGCGAGCAGGUGCGAAAGCAGGUCAUAGUGAUCCGGUGGUUCUGAAUGGAAGGGCCAUCGCUCAACGGAUAAAAGGUACUCCGGGGAUAACAGGCUGAUACCGCCCAAGAGUUCAUAUCGACGGCGGUGUUUGGCACCUCGAUGUCGGCUCAUCACAUCCUGGGGCUGAAGUAGGUCCCAAGGGUAUGGCUGUUCGCCAUUUAAAGUGGUACGCGAGCUGGGUUUAGAACGUCGUGAGACAGUUCGGUCCCUAUCUGCCGUGGGCGCUGGAGAACUGAGGGGGGCUGCUCCUAGUACGAGAGGACCGGAGUGGACGCAUCACUGGUGUUCGGGUUGUCAUGCCAAUGGCACUGCCCGGUAGCUAAAUGCGGAAGAGAUAAGUGCUGAAAGCAUCUAAGCACGAAACUUGCCCCGAGAUGAGUUCUCCCUGAGACUUAGAGUCUCCUGAAGGAACGUUGAAGACGACGACGUUGAUAGGCCGGGUGUGUAAGCGCAGCGAUGCGUUGAGCUAACCGGUACUAAUGAACCGUGAGGCUUAACCUUACAAC